RNAcentral lists this ribosomal RNA (460 nucleotides) under uncultured bacterium. RNAcentral describes it as "partial 16S ribosomal RNA". It matches the Rfam family "Bacterial small subunit ribosomal RNA", at positions 338 to 795 of the family's 1533-position model. The record is from RNAcentral.
CCUACGGGAGGCAGCAGUGAGGAAUAUUGGUCAAUGGACGCAAGUCUGAACCAGCCAUGCAGCGUGCAGGAAGAAGGUGCUAUGCAUUGUAAACUGCUUUUAUACGGGGGUAAUACCAGAUACGUGUAUCUGGCUGCACGUACCUUAUGAAUAAGGAUCGGCUAACUCCGUGCCAGCAGCCGCGGUAAUACGGAGGAUCCGAGCGUUAUCCGGAUUUAUUGGGUUUAAAGGGUGCGUAGGCGGUCAGGUAAGUUAGAGGUGAAAGCUCGAUGCUCAACAUUGAAACUGCCUCUGAUACUGUCGGACUAGAGUGUAGUUGCGGAAGGCGGAAUGUGUGGUGUAGCGGUGAAAUGCUUAGAUAUCACACAGAACACCGAUUGCGAAGGCAGCUUGCUAAGCUAUGACUGACGCUGAGGCACGAAAGUGUGGGGAGCGAACAGGAUUAGAUACCCGGGUAGUC